This 445-nucleotide ribosomal RNA is filed under the name uncultured bacterium. RNAcentral's name for it is "bacterial SSU rRNA". It matches the Rfam family "Bacterial small subunit ribosomal RNA", at positions 331 to 792 of the family's 1533-position model. The record is from RNAcentral.
CCAGACUCCUACGGGAGGCAGCAGUCGGGAAUAUUGCGCAAUGGAGGAAACUCUGACGCAGUGACGCCGCGUGCAGGAAGAAGGUUUUCGGAUUGUAAACUGCUUUAGACAGGGAAGAAACAAGACAGUACCUGUAGAAUAAGCUCCGGCUAACUACGUGCCAGCAGCCGCGGUAAUACGUAGGGAGCAAGCGUUAUCCGGAUUUAUUGGGUGUAAAGGGUGCGUAGACGGAGAAGCAAGUUAGUUGUGAAAUCCCUCGGCUUAACUGAGGAACUGCAACUAAAACUACUUCCCUUGAGUGCUGGAGAGGAAAGUGGAAUUCCUAGUGUAGCGGUGAAAUGCGUAGAUAUUAGGAGGAACACCAGUGGCGAAGGCGACUUUCUGGACAGUAACUGACGUUGAGGCACGAAAGUGUGGGGAGCAAACAGGAUUAGAUCCCCGCGUA